UGGGGAAUUUUGGACAAUGGGCGCAAGCCUGAUCCAGCCAUGCCGCGUGCGGGAAGAAGGCCUUCGGGUUGUAAACCGCUUUUGUCAGGGAAGAAAUCUUCUGAGUUAAUACCUCGGGAGGAUGACGGUACCUGAAGAAUAAGCACCGGCUAACUACGUGCCAGCAGCCGCGGUAAUACGUAGGGUGCAAGCGUUAAUCGGAAUUACUGGGCGUAAAGCGUGCGCAGGCGGUUUUGUAAGACAGAGGUGAAAUCCCCGGGCUCAACCUGGGAACUGCCUUUGUGACUGCAAGGCUUGAGUGCGGCAGAGGGGGGAUGGAAUUCCGCGUGUAGCAGUGAAAUGCGUAGAUAUGCGGAGGAACACCGAUGGCGAAGGCAAUCCCCUGGGCCUGCACUGACGCUCAUGCACGAAAGCGUGGGGAGCAAACAGGAUUAGAUAGCCCUGGUAGUCCACGCCCUAAACGAUGUCAACUGGUUGUUGGGAAGGUUCCUUCUCAGUAACGUAGCUAACGCGUGAANUUGACCGCCUGGGGAGUACGGCCGCAAGGUUG
RNAcentral lists this ribosomal RNA (550 nucleotides) under uncultured bacterium. RNAcentral's name for it is "partial 16S ribosomal RNA". It matches the Rfam family "Bacterial small subunit ribosomal RNA", at positions 355 to 896 of the family's 1533-position model. The record is from RNAcentral.